GAUGAACGCUAGCGGCAGGCUUAAUACAUGCAAGUCGUGGGGGCAGCAUGGGGUAGCAAUACUCUGAUGGCGACCGGCAAACGGGUGCGGAACACGUACGCAACCUUCCCAAAACUGGUGAAUAGCCCUCCGAAAGGAGGAUUAAUACACCGUAACAUAACGAAGUGGCAUCACUUUGUUAUUAUAGCUCCGGCGGUUUUGGAUGGGCGUGCGCCUGAUUAGGUAGUUGGCGGGGUAACGGCCCACCAAGCCUACGAUCAGUAACUGGUGUGAGAGCACGACCAGUCACACGGGCACUGAGACACGGGCCCGACUCCUACGGGAGGCAGCAGUAAGGAAUAUUGGUCAAUGGACGCAAGUCUGAACCAGCCAUGCCGCGUGAAGGAUGAAGGUCCUCUGGAUUGUAAACUUCUUUUAUCUAGGGAACGAAAAAGGGCUUUCUAGCUCACUUGACGGUACCAGAGGAAUAAGCACCGGCUAACUCCGUGCCAGCAGCCGCGGUAAACUGUACG
Molecule: ribosomal RNA, 512 nt
Filed under: uncultured bacterium
Lineage: Bacteria
Description: bacterial SSU rRNA
Rfam family: Bacterial small subunit ribosomal RNA
Source: RNAcentral